Molecule: ribosomal RNA, 429 nt
Filed under: uncultured Clostridium sp.
Lineage: Bacteria; Bacillati; Bacillota; Clostridia; Eubacteriales; Clostridiaceae
Description: bacterial SSU rRNA
Rfam family: Bacterial small subunit ribosomal RNA
Source: RNAcentral
AAGCAACGCGAAGAACCUUACCAGGUCUUGACAUCCCGAUGCUAUUUCUAGAGAUGAAAGUUACUCGGUACAUCGGUGACAGGUGGUGCAUGGUUGUCGUCAGCUCGUGUCGUGAGAUGUUGGGUUAAGUCCCGCAACGAGCGCAACCCUUAUCGUUAGUUCGCUUACCAUUAAGUUGAGCACUCUAGCGAGACUGCCCGGGUUAACCGGGAGGAAGGUGGGGAUGACGUCAAAUCAUCAUGCCCCUUAUGUCUAGGGCUACACACGUGCUACAAUGGUGAGGACAAAGAGACGCAAGACCGCGAGGUGGAGCAAAUCCUACACAAACCUCAUCCCAGUUCGGAUUGCAGGCUGAAACUCGCCUGCAUGAAGCCGGAGUUGCUAGUAAUCGCGAAUCAGCAUGUCGCGGUGAAUACGUUCCCGGGCCUU